RNAcentral lists this ribosomal RNA (253 nucleotides) under uncultured Parabacteroides sp. RNAcentral describes it as "partial 16S ribosomal RNA". It matches the Rfam family "Bacterial small subunit ribosomal RNA", at positions 524 to 776 of the family's 1533-position model. Lineage: Bacteria; Pseudomonadati; Bacteroidota; Bacteroidia; Bacteroidales; Tannerellaceae. The record is from RNAcentral.
UACGGAGGAUGCGAGCGUUAUCCGGAUUUAUUGGGUUUAAAGGGUGCGUAGGUUGUUUUUUAAGUCAGCGGUGAAAGUUUGUGGCUCAACCAUAAAAUUGCCGUUGAAACUGGGGGGCUUGAGUAUGUUUGAGGCAGGCGGAAUGCGUGGUGUAGCGGUGAAAUGCAUAGAUAUCACGCAGAACCCCGAUUGCGAAGGCAGCGUACCGGCGCCAGACUGACGCUGAGGCACGAGAGCAUGGGUAGCGAACAGG